This 3384-nucleotide long non-coding RNA is filed under the name Erythranthe guttata (spotted monkey flower). RNAcentral's name for it is "long non-coding RNA (EGUT_LNC001205)". Lineage: Eukaryota; Viridiplantae; Streptophyta; Magnoliopsida; Lamiales; Phrymaceae. The record is from RNAcentral.
UCAGACUUUCUCUUCGUCAUCUUCAUCCGAUUAAUAGCGUCUUCCAACUUCACUUCUGCCUAUAAAUUCCUCUUCUCAUCAAUAGAAUCAUCAUCCACAAUCACAUAGAAUUCGAAGAGAAAUCAAGAGAUUUAUCGAAGAAAUAAUUUGAGAGAGAAAUCAAGAAGAUUGGAGAUAAGCUAGGUUUCAACAAACCGAGGGAAAGAUGUUGACUUGACGAUUUUCCUGGCGGGUUUCAGCGAUCAGGAUAUAUCAUUCGAAAGCCCUCGAUGUAAGCUUCAAUUUGGUGGUGGUUUCCGGCUGUUGUCUCAGGUGGUGGUCGCCGGAGUUCAACGAGAAGUCCAACCUGCUGCUGAAGUUUCAAGAGUCGAUUUGAGGUACUUAGGCUUCGUAUUUCGGAUUUAUUUCUCCUGGAAAGUUAUAGAACAGACUAAAUACUACAGGAAUAUCGAUUUUUUCCCCAAAGUUAUACCUCUGUACAAAGUUGAUUUUCAUCCGACAGUUGUGACAAUGAUUUCUGAAAUUUCUGCAAUUAAAAACCUUAUGCCGCUCCUGUUUUCGGGGCAGAUUUUGGGGGUUUUGGGAUUUGAAUUUUAAAGCAGUUCCUUCUUAUAAAUCGUAGAUAGUAUGGGGAAGUUUAAGGAUACUCUGAAUCUUGCUUGGUUUGAUCCAUUUUUAAGGUUUGUUUGAUGGGGGGAAACAGGGUAGUUCCAUCUGCAAAAUUCUGGCAGUUCAUAUGACUUAUCUUUCGAGACUAUUUCCUAUGCGUUCGAGUCAUAAUUUGAGGUCAGUGUCUUCAGUUCAGUUGUAGAUGAAGACGUUAUGUUCAAUUUGGUACGUGAUUUGUCAAAAUUGGAUAAUAUUUCGAAUUAUUAUGAUUUUUCAAAAAAAUACUGCCAAAAUGAUUUUUUGUCAAAUCCUGGUAGUUUCUGUUAUCAUUUUCUUGGGCUGUUUUAGCAAUGUUUCACUCAUAAUUUGAAAGUGUUGUCUUCAGUGAACUUGUAGAUCUUGUUGUUAGCUUUAAUUUGAUAUAUCAUUUGGUCUGUUUCGAGAUACAUGCAAUUUGUUAUGGUUUUUCAAAUAAGCUGUACCAGAAAUAAUCUUUCCAAAAUCCUUGCAGUUCUGUAAUGUUGGUUUGAGGCUGUUUCUGCUAUUUUUGGUUCAGAAUUUGGUACUAGACCCUUCUGUGAACUCGUAGGAUUUUCUGUUAGCUUUCAUUUGCGUAUCAUGUGAUCAAUUUCGAUAAACGUGGAACCUGUUAUGGGUUUUCAAAUGAACUGUGGCAGCAUGUUAGUUUUAUUAUUAGGUUGAGAAACUCUUCUAAUAAAAUGAGUUAAUUCUAUGGGUUUGCGGCCCGGUUCGGUAAAUGAAAUAAUUAUGUGUUGUGCUUAGAUGUCGGGUUAUGGGAUUAAUUAAAUUAGAAUUAGUAAGUUUUUCGGCCUUAAGGACAUAAAGAAAACUAGGAAAUAUCGUAUGUAUAUGAAUUCAUUUAAUAAGUAUUUGGAAUCUUAUUAAGUGAUAAAUAUUUUUAUAGGUAUUGAGUGUAGUAAAGCUCUCGCUCAAGACUUGAGAGUUGCUUGAGCGUAAAGAUAAUUUAUAGCACUUGCAUUGGACUCCAUGUGAGGAUCUCUAUUUCUUCACUAUUAUUUCUUGGAAAAAACAAAAUGCACACUGAGAAUAAGAUAUCUGUUAUUGCUUCUUGAUCACUUAAAUGUGAUAUAUCUUACUUGUUGCCUAUCAUAUUAUAUUUUGAUUCUUGAAUUGUUGAAAAUAAUUAUUUAUUCGGAAUUCUCUUAAUGGUUCGUAUCUUCUUCCUCGAACGAUUCAAAUAAGUUCUCAUCUUGAUUCGAGACUUAUUUCAAUAAUUUAUUAUCCAGAUUUUUUGACUACUCAAUCGAGCUCUUUUAUCGAUUCUUGAAUAAUUUGGAGUUUCAGUCCGAUUCUCAAUCAAUUGUCAAUCGUUUCACAUAUUGACUUGUAUACUAGUUGGAACCACUUCUAUUAUGACUCAUUAAAUCAUUUGAUUUGUUUCUACAGUGGUUCAAUAAACGUAAAUCGUUAUUUUCCCGACUCUUGGACCAUUUAGGAUUAUUCUGUUUAUCCAUUAAAUCAUUCGUUUCGUACCUACUGUGAAUUGAUGGAUCGUUCAUAUCUUGACUUCUCAUUGAUCCUUUGGAACCACUUGUCUUUCGAGCUAUUCAACUACGGAUUCAAUUUUAACCGUAGACUAUUGUUGAUUGAGAUCCAUCUUCAUCAAUUGUUAUACGAUCAUGAAUUGUGGUCACUCUCUUAUUGAAACCAUUGAUCGUACCUUUCUUGACUUGUGAAUUCGUGACUACAUAUUAUUGUCACUUGUUAUUGAAAUCCCAAGACUUAUUGAACUAUGAUAUUGACUCUUUCCAAAGUGGAAUUCAUUAUUGGGAUUCAAAAUGUAAAUUGAGAUAGUCGGUAGCAUAUCCGUAUCUCUAUAUCAUUGAUUCCUUUGGGGACGCCCUAAGGAUAAUUGACCAGUUGGAAAAAGACUGCUGGGCGGUAUUGGGCCGACGGUGGAUGGUCUCUUCGACAGUACCCAUAUUGGAUCUAGACCAUUGGCAUAGUUGGAGGUUAACUGUGCUGAUGGAUGGAUCGGCAUGCGCCCGGGCAUGCCUAUUGAUCGAUUAGCAGGGUAGCUCCCUGAUCGGUGUUAUAAGGUAGUUACGGCUAAGGGAGUCACAAGGCAGGUACAGGUACAUGAACAAAUUGUUACCAUGGGAAUCUCCAUGGUCUCAUAUUUGAUAUCCUAAAUUGUUAUCGUGGGAAUCUCCACGAAAUACAUAAUUGAUAUCCGGGAAUUACCCGUUGAGUAUUGUUCUUUACCUGUACAUAUUGAUUGUAUUGUUUAUUCUGACCAUAGUGAUGUGCCUUAUACGUUGGCCUCUUAUUCCUUAUCGAACGAUCAUUCUCUAGAUGGUCCAAUUACAACUCCAAUUCCAAGUUGAACACUUAUAUUGUGAUUAUUAUUUGAUUCGACUGUUUUUCCCUUGUACUCCUCACUAAGUCCACUUGGACUUACUCCUCCUUUAUUUUCCAUCUUAUUCUCAGUGGCAGGUGCUAUAAGUGGACGUUUGUGUUGACUGCAAUUAGGAGUAAAGUUACUUGGAAGUUUUAUAGAGUUUAAUAGAGUGAUGUUGUAUUUAAGAAUGGUUGUAAUUCAAGAACUAUGUAUACGAGUUUAGUUGCGAGCUUUAAUUGCCACUUGUAUUUAAUUUUAAUGUUAAGUAGUUAAGUUGAAGUUGCUAUAUUAAUUAGUAGUCAUAGUAUUCAUAAAAAAAAAAAAAGUAUAUAGUGUAUUACGGUGGUGGGCGUCAUAAUCAUGAUUGUUUUUCUAUGUUUGUUAUAUAUAUG